UGCCUACGGGGCGCAGCAAUGGGGAAUAUUGCACAAUGGGGGAAACCCUGAUGCAGCGACGCCGCGUGAGUGAAGAAGUAUUUCGGUAUGUAAAGCUCUAUCAGCAGGGAAGAAGAAAGACGGUACCUGACUAAGAAGCCCCGGCUAACUACGUGCCAGCAGCCGCGGAAAUACGUAGGGGGCAAGCGUUAUCCGGAUUUACUGGGUGUAAAGGGAGCGUAGACGGCUGUGAAAGUCUGAAGUGAAAGC
RNAcentral lists this ribosomal RNA (249 nucleotides) under uncultured bacterium. RNAcentral describes it as "partial 16S ribosomal RNA". It matches the Rfam family "Bacterial small subunit ribosomal RNA", at positions 335 to 601 of the family's 1533-position model. The record is from RNAcentral.